This 115-nucleotide ribosomal RNA is filed under the name Lentisphaerae bacterium RIFOXYA12_64_32. The record is from RNAcentral. Lineage: Bacteria; Pseudomonadati; Lentisphaerota.
ACUGGUGACCAUGGCGAGGAAGUAACACCCGUUCCCAUCCCGAACACGACGGUUAAGAGCCUCUGCGGCGAUGAUACUGCAUACUUGAAUGCGGGAAAGUAGCACGUUGCCAGUC